RNAcentral lists this ribosomal RNA (279 nucleotides) under uncultured bacterium. RNAcentral describes it as "partial 16S ribosomal RNA". It matches the Rfam family "Bacterial small subunit ribosomal RNA", at positions 506 to 784 of the family's 1533-position model. The record is from RNAcentral.
UGCCAGCCGCCGCGGUAAUACGGAGGGGGCUAGCGUUGUUCGGAAUUACUGGGCGUAAAGCGCGCGUAGGCGGAUUGUUAAGUCGGGGGUGAAAGCCCGGGGCUCAACCCCGGAAGUGCAUUGGAAACUGGCGAACUUGAGUACGGGAGAGGAAAGUGGAAUUCCGAGUGUAGGGGUGAAAUCCGUAGAUAUUCGGAGGAACACCAGUGGCGAAGGCGGCUUUCUGGACCGAUACUGACGCUGAGACGCGAAAGCGUGGGGAGCAAACAGGAUUAGAUA